AAUAAACUCUGAAUUUUCGUGUCCAAAGUUUGACUGUCCGUCUUAUUUGAAAAAAUUAUGGAAAAAAUUAAAAAGACAAGUCAUGCAUAAAGUAUUAAUCAUGUUUUAUCAUCUAACAACAAUAAAAAUACUAAUUAUAAAAAAUUUCAUAUAAGACGGACAGUCAAACGUUGGACACGGAAAUGCAGGGUUUGUCUUUUU
Molecule: microRNA precursor, 201 nt
Filed under: Oryza sativa Indica Group (long-grained rice)
Lineage: Eukaryota; Viridiplantae; Streptophyta; Magnoliopsida; Poales; Poaceae
Description: MIR812 microRNA precursor family
Rfam family: MIR812 microRNA precursor family
Source: Rfam by way of RNAcentral